RNAcentral lists this ribosomal RNA (480 nucleotides) under uncultured bacterium. RNAcentral's name for it is "partial 16S ribosomal RNA". It matches the Rfam family "Bacterial small subunit ribosomal RNA", at positions 28 to 523 of the family's 1533-position model. The record is from RNAcentral.
GACGAACGCUGGCGGCGUGCUUAACACAUGAAAGUCGAGCGUAAAGGCCCCUUCGGGGGUACUCCAGCGGCGAACGGGAGAGUAACACGUGAGUAAUAUGCCCCUGGCUUUGGGAUAGCCAACGGAAACGGGGAUCAAUUCCGGCUACGAACACUUCUGGCAUGGGAUGGUGGUGGAAAGGUUUUCGGCCAGGGAUGUGCUCGCGGGCUAUCAGCUUGCGGGUGAGGUAAUGGCUCACCAUGGCUUUGGGGGGUAGCCGGCCUGAGAGGGUGACCGGUCACAAUGGGACUGAGACACGGCCCAGAAUCCUACGGGAGGCAGCAGUGGGGAAUAUUGGACAAUGGGCGGAAGCCUGAUCCAGCAACGCCGCGUGAGGGAUGACGGCCUUCGGGUUGUAAACCUCUUUCAGCAGGUACGAAGCGCAAGUGCCGGUACCUGCAUAAAAAGCACCGGCCAACUACGUGCCAGCAGCCGCAGUAA